Molecule: ribosomal RNA, 414 nt
Filed under: uncultured microorganism
Description: bacterial SSU rRNA
Rfam family: Archaeal small subunit ribosomal RNA
Source: RNAcentral
CAGCCGCCGCGGUAAUACCGGCGGCCCGAGUGGUGGCCGCUAUUAUUGGGCCUAAAGCGUCCGUAGCCGGGCUGGUAAGUCCUCCGGGAAAUCUGGUCGCUUAACGAUCAGACUUCCGGAGGAUACUGCUGGCCUAGGGACCGGGAGAGGCCGAGGGUAUUCCCGGGGUAGGGGUGAAAUCCUGUAAUCCCGGGAGGACCACCUGUGGCGAAGGCGCUCGGCUGGAACGGGUCCGACGGUGAGGGACGAAGGCCAGGGGAGCGAACCGGAUUAGAUGCCCGGGUAGUCCUGGCUGUAAACGAUGCGGACUAGGUGUCGGGCAAGCUAAGGGCUUGUCCGGUGCCGCAGGGAAGCCGUUAAGUCCGCCGCCUGGGGAGUACGGCCGCAAGGCUGAAACUUAAAGGAAUUGGCGGG